GAUUUCUGAAAAACACUGUUCUG
RNAcentral lists this non-coding RNA (23 nucleotides) under Cricetulus griseus (Chinese hamster). The record is from RNAcentral. Lineage: Eukaryota; Metazoa; Chordata; Mammalia; Rodentia; Cricetidae.